UGGGGAAUAUUGCACAAUGGGCGCAAGCCUGAUGCAGCCAUGCCGCGUGUAUGAAGAAGGCCUUCGGGUUGUAAAGUACUUUCAGCGGGGAGGAAGGCGAUAAGGUUAAUAACCUUGUCGAUUGACGUUACCCGCAGAAGAAGCACCGGCUAACUCCGUGCCAGCAGCCGCGGUAAUACGGAGGGUGCAAGCGUUAAUCGGAAUUACUGGGCGUAAAGCGCACGCAGGCGGUCUGUCAAGUCGGAUGUGAAAUCCCCGGGCUCAACCUGGGAACUGCAUGCGAAACAGGCAGGCUAGAGUCUUGUAGAGGGGGGUAGAAUUCCAGGUGUAGCGGUGAAAUGCGUAGAGAUCCGGAGGAAUACCGGUGGCGAAGGCGGCCCCCUGGACAAAGGCUGACGCUCAGGUGCGAAAGCGUGGGGAGCAAACA
This 427-nucleotide ribosomal RNA is filed under the name uncultured bacterium. RNAcentral's name for it is "partial 16S ribosomal RNA". It matches the Rfam family "Bacterial small subunit ribosomal RNA", at positions 355 to 774 of the family's 1533-position model. The record is from RNAcentral.